Molecule: ribosomal RNA, 253 nt
Filed under: uncultured bacterium
Lineage: Bacteria
Description: partial 16S ribosomal RNA
Rfam family: Bacterial small subunit ribosomal RNA
Source: RNAcentral
UACGUAGGGUGCGAGCGUUAAUCGGAAUUACUGGGCGUAAAGUGUGCGCAGGCGGCCGCGCAAGUCGAGUGUGAAAGCCCCGAGCUUAACUUGGGAAUUGCGCUCGAAACUACGUGGCUGGAGUGUGGCAGAGGAAGGUGGAAUUCCACGUGUAGCGGUGAAAUGCGUAGAGAUGUGGAGGAACACCGAUGGCGAAGGCAGCCUUCUGGGCCAACACUGACGCUCAUGCACGAAAGCGCGGGGAGCAAACAGG